RNAcentral lists this small nuclear RNA (106 nucleotides) under Sorex araneus (European shrew). The record is from RNAcentral. Lineage: Eukaryota; Metazoa; Chordata; Mammalia; Eulipotyphla; Soricidae.
AUACUUGCUUCAGCAGUAUGUUUGCUAAAAUGGGAACAAUAAGAGAAGAUUUGGCAUGCCCCUCUAGAAGUAUGACACAUAAAUUUAUGACGCUGUUUGUAUUUUC